GGACUUCGCUUACACCAUCAAAGCUUUGAGAAGCAAGAAGAAGUUUAAUUAAUC
Molecule: small RNA, 54 nt
Filed under: Arabidopsis thaliana (thale cress)
Lineage: Eukaryota; Viridiplantae; Streptophyta; Magnoliopsida; Brassicales; Brassicaceae
Description: ATSL270590
Source: RNAcentral